UCAUAGUUUUACUUUAUUUUACUUUCAUUCAACCAAGCUCCUUUCUAGAAAAUCUUCGUUUGUUGGUAGAUAAAAAUACAUUCUCAGAUUCUCCCAGAAGCGGCGCCAUCAGCUUCAUGGACUAAAAAGAAGCCUCGUUUCCUCGUGCCGCUAUAGAAAUGUCUUCCUUCUCCACUCCGGGCUUAACCGGAUCAAAGUCUCUUUGUCCUUAGUUGAUUGUUCUCAGAAAAUCUGGAGUCCAGACAGGCUUGAGCCAGGAGAGGGUGACCUCUUGAGGGCAGACCCCGAGGCAUGGCGCGUCUCCUCGCUCCUCAGACCCAGGAGAGCUGCGCCCCCUCUCAGUGCGCGGGGAGAGUACUCCAGCCGAGCCGAGAAAUCCGUUACCAGGCUGCUGUGUCCCCAAGGGCCAUUCCAGGGCGGAAGAGGACGGGGAAAACCGCUGUGUUGAUUCCUCAGCCCUGUGGGCUGGGCGCGCAGCGGGUCAGGUUACAGACAGGUAUAAAGGCAGAGAGGAAAAGCCAAAACCAAAAAUAAAUACAAAGCUCUCCAGCCAACUCCCCAGUAGCAGCCGACUUCACUUUGCUGGGAAACGUGUUUCCCAACCUCAGAAUUUGGGGAGCGGGCGGUUGGGGGGAGACCAUAAUGGGAGUGGGCAAGGAUAAGAAAUUUGUUAUGAAGCCGCGUUUGCAUAACAUGCGCUUGGCUUUUGUUUCCAUUGUGUGUUUAUCUGGGUUGAUGGGGCUCUUGGAGCGGUAGGUCUUGGAGUGGAAGCUGCUUUAGCAGAGCUAGCCGACUUGUUUUUCCUAGAUUGUACGGCACAAAUCAAUAAUGACGUGGUCUAAAGCUGCCGAACUUUAAAUUAUAUUAUUACCGUGUUUAUUUGGGGGACUGUUGUAAAUUAUGGGGAGCCUAAGCCCCCAAGUCGCCCCCCCCCUUACGAGAUGAGCCCUGCAGUCUCCUCGCCGCCUCCACCUUCCGCCCGCCGAGAUUUCAACUAGCCGCGGCAACCAUUCACCAAGACCGAAGGAACUGAGCCAUUUUCUUGCUUGCCUGUCGGAGACAAUCCACCUGGGGGCGGGGAGGGGGGGUGCAUCUCGCAGGAAUCUCCAACUCUUAGGAUGGAUGCGCGGGGAAGCGGACCUGGGGGCUUACCUCUAAGAGUUUGCCCUGAGAUGCAUGUGAUGGGGACUGGGGCGAGAGGUUGAUUAAAAAAUGUUCUUCCCUUUUUAAAAAGGGGAGGGGGGCGGAGAAUCAGACGUUAAAUUCUUUUGCAAACAUUCAUGCCUAAGGAAGGGCUGGAACAGGCAGCCCCGGCCGCCGGAACCGGUCGGACAGGUAGCGAGCUUGUUGACACCGUUAUGUUGCAGGGCGCAUGCUCACUCCCAAGUUUCCUGGUGCCUUUUCUAUUCCACCUUAUGAAACUUUUUCCUCGGCGUGGUCUCACCCGCGAUUUAAGGCAUAGGUGUCGCGGAGCUUGGAGGCUGGGAGUCGCCGGGCGUGCGGGGGAGAGGCCUGGGCCGCGCCGCGGCGGGGGGCGGAGGGAGAGGGCAGGAUAGGCGGGAAGGUGGGCUCUGGCCGCCGGGAGCCGGGUAUCGAGUCCCUGCCGCAGUUUCUAGCGGGGAGCAGCCGGGAGGAGGGGGCCGCCGGCCGGGGAGGGGGCCACGCCAUGCCCAAAGUCUUCCUGGUGAAGAGGAGGAGCCCGGGGGUCUCCGUCCGCAGCUGGGAUGAGCUCCCGGAUGAGGAAAGGGCAGACACCUACAUCCCAGGUGAGCGCCGCGCGGGGGCCGGGCCUGGGCGCGGGACUCCCGGAGUGGGGGCAGGGGUGGUCGGGUUCCCUCCGCUCCUCCGCGGGGCCUGGACUCUCCACCCCUUGCCGCUUCUUUCGGGGCGGCGGGGAGGGGGGUGCUUCUUGAGGAGCGGGAAGACGGAGAGUGAGAGGCUGGGAACCCGGGACGCCCUGCGCCCCCUUCCCCCUAGUGGGCGCCAGUAAUUGCCCGGCGGCGGGACCGUUGGCUGCCGCGCUGGCCGAGGUGAACCGAAGGAGGGGAGACCGAAGGCCAGUAGGGGCUACUCUUAGUCCCACGUCCUCAUGGGAUUGCACCAGGAUCCGUCAGCCCCUCGGGCUGGUGGGCCUCGGCCGUCUGCUCCACGACCCCCCC
Molecule: long non-coding RNA, 2159 nt
Organism: Lontra canadensis (Northern American river otter)
Lineage: Eukaryota; Metazoa; Chordata; Mammalia; Carnivora; Mustelidae
Exons: 3
Source: RefSeq, a predicted model, not a curated record